UGCCAGCCGCCGCGGUAAUACGGAGGGUGCAAACGUUGUUCGGAAUCACUGGGCAUAAAGAGCACGUAGGUGGUCUUCUAAGUCAGGUGUGAAAGCCCCCGGCUCAACCGGGGAACUGCAUCUGAUACUGGGAGACUCGAGAUCGGUAGGGGUAAGUGGAACUCCAGGUGGAGCGGUGAAAUGCGUAGAGAUCUGGAGGAACACCGGUGGCGAAAGCGACUUACUGGACCGAUUCUGACACUGAGGUGCGAAAGCCAGGGGAGCAAACGGGAUUAGAUA
RNAcentral lists this ribosomal RNA (279 nucleotides) under uncultured bacterium. Its description in RNAcentral is "partial 16S ribosomal RNA". It matches the Rfam family "Bacterial small subunit ribosomal RNA", at positions 506 to 784 of the family's 1533-position model. The record is from RNAcentral.